Molecule: ribosomal RNA, 468 nt
Filed under: uncultured bacterium
Lineage: Bacteria
Description: partial 16S ribosomal RNA
Rfam family: Bacterial small subunit ribosomal RNA
Source: RNAcentral
GACGAACGCUGGCGGCGUGCUUAACACAUGCAAGUCGAACGGAAAGGCUCUGUUUUUGUGGGGUGCACGAGUGGCGAACGGGUGAGUAACACGUGAGUAACCUGCCCUUGACUUUGGGAUAACUUCAGGAAACUGGGGCUAAUCCCGGAUAGGAGCUCCUGCUGCAUGGUGGGGGUGGGCAAGUUUCGGUGGUUGGGGGUGGACUCGCGGCUUAUCAGCUUGUUGGUGGGGUAGUGGCUUACCAAGGCUUUGAAGGGUAGCGGGCCUGGGAGGAGGACCGGACCCAUUACAACUGAGCUACGGCCCAGACUCCAACGGGAGGCAGCGGUGGAGAAUAUUACACAAUGCGCGGAAGCCUGAUGCGGCAACGCCGCGUGCGGGAAGACGGCCUUCGGGUUGGGAACCGCUGUCGCCUGUGACGAAGCGUGAGUGACGGUAACGGGUAAAGAAGCACCGGCUAACUACGUG